This 634-nucleotide ribosomal RNA is filed under the name Longidorus azarbaijanensis. RNAcentral describes it as "eukaryotic LSU rRNA". It matches the Rfam family "Eukaryotic large subunit ribosomal RNA", at positions 416 to 840 of the family's 3401-position model. Lineage: Eukaryota; Metazoa; Nematoda; Enoplea; Dorylaimida; Longidoridae. The record is from RNAcentral.
AAAACGGACGGAGCCGUCAGUGGCCCUUCGGAAUCAGUCGUACGACGCGCGAUAAUGCGUUUUGCUAGAGCGAAAGUCUGGCGGACGUGUUAGGAAAUAGUAGCGUUCGUUCGAUGCAUUUCCGGAGGGUAUGCGCCACGACCGAUGCGAAAGGCUAGUGAAUCCGGCGAAUUGAGGUGGAAUCCCUUCGGGGUAUUCAGUACCAGUUCGCCGGCCUAUAGUCGCUAGACCGCAGUAGGCAUCGAGCGCGGAAUAAAUCGAACACCGGCAAAUAUGCUCGUUCGAGCGAUGGAUAGUCGACGGAAUAUUCCGUACCUGCUCGCAGGUUAUGUUUGUUCCCGUUCGGCCUUUGAAAUCGUCGACGAGUUAUGGUGUUCUGGCGUCAGUGGCGUCCGAGACGGUCAACCGUCCGACCCGUCUUGAAACACGGACCAAGGAGUCUAACGUACGCGCGAGCUAAUGAGUGGAAAACUCAUAAGCGCAAUAAAAGUAAAAGCCGUUUCCGACGGCGUGGGGUACGAUCCCGGGGUAUUUAUUUAUCCCGGGCGCAGUACCAUCCCAUCCUAAUCGCUCGUCGAUAGGGUGGAGAUUGAGUGCAUACGUUGGGACCCGAAAGAUGGUGAACUAUGCCUGA